Molecule: ribosomal RNA, 250 nt
Filed under: uncultured prokaryote
Description: partial 16S ribosomal RNA
Rfam family: Bacterial small subunit ribosomal RNA
Source: RNAcentral
UACGUAGGGGGCAAGCGUUAUCCGGAUUUACUGGGUGUAAAGGGAGCGUAGGCGGCUAUGCAAGUCAGGUGUGAAAACCCGGGGCUUAACUCCGGGACUGCACUUGAAACUGCGUAGCUCGAGUACGGGAGAGGCAGGCGGAAUUCCUGGUGUAGCGGUGAAAUGCGUAGAUAUCAGGAAGAACACCGGUGGCGAAGGCGGCCUGCUGGACCGAGACUGACGCUGAGGCUCGAAAGCGUGGGGAGCAAAC